GUAAAUGGCUGCAUAAACCCGAGUGUACGAAGGUAGCGCUAUAAUUUGCCCUUUAAGUGGGGGCUGGUAUGAAGGGGUUAACGGGAGAGUUGCUGUGUCAUGAAAAAUUAUUGAAAUUAACUUCUAGGUGAAGAGGCCUAGUUAAACCUAAAGGACGACAAGACCCUAGAAGCUUAACUAUAGGUGGAGUAUAAAGUAAGCUACUUUAGUUUUGUUGGGGCAACAAGGUUGAAAGGUGCAACUUAAGUAGUGUUUACUAACAAGUUAAAUCCACUAAAGUGAAUAAGAUAAGUUACUCCAGGGAUAACAGCGUUAUUUUUUUUAAUAGUACUUAUUGUAAAAAAAGUUUGCGACCUCGAUGUUGGAUUAAGGUGUCCUUGAGGUGUAGAAGUUUCAGAGGGUUGGCCUGUUCGUCCAUUAAAACCUUACA
RNAcentral lists this ribosomal RNA (430 nucleotides) under Vulcanidas insolatus. RNAcentral's name for it is "partial 16S ribosomal RNA". It matches the Rfam family "Bacterial large subunit ribosomal RNA", at positions 1923 to 2600 of the family's 2925-position model. Lineage: Eukaryota; Metazoa; Mollusca; Bivalvia; Mytilida; Modiolidae. The record is from RNAcentral.